CAGCCGCCGCGGUAAUACGUAGGUGGCAAGCGUUGUCCGGAAUUAUUGGGCGUAAAGGGCUCGCAGGCGGUUUCUUAAGUCUGAUGUGAAAGCCCCCGGCUCAACCGGGGAGGGUCAUUGGAAACUGGGAAACUUGAGUGCAGAAGAGGAGAGUGGAAUUCCACGUGUAGCGGUGAAAUGCGUAGAGAUGUGGAGGAACACCAGUGGCGAGGGCGACUCUCUGGUCUGUAACUGACGCUGAGGAGCGAAAGCGUGGGGAGCGAACAGGAUUAGAUACCCCGGUAGUCCCUGUCUUUUAUAC
RNAcentral lists this ribosomal RNA (301 nucleotides) under uncultured bacterium. RNAcentral's name for it is "partial 16S ribosomal RNA". It matches the Rfam family "Bacterial small subunit ribosomal RNA", at positions 509 to 809 of the family's 1533-position model. The record is from RNAcentral.